This 402-nucleotide ribosomal RNA is filed under the name uncultured Victivallis sp. RNAcentral's name for it is "partial 16S ribosomal RNA". It matches the Rfam family "Bacterial small subunit ribosomal RNA", at positions 355 to 774 of the family's 1533-position model. The record is from RNAcentral. Lineage: Bacteria; Pseudomonadati; Lentisphaerota; Lentisphaeria; Victivallales; Victivallaceae.
UCGAGAAUCUUGGGCAAUGCGCGAAAGCGUGACCCAGCAAUGCCGCGUGUGUGAUGAAGGUCUUCGGAUUGUAAAACACUGUCUCCCGUGACGAUAAUGACGGUAGCGGGGAAGGAAGCCACGGCUAACUACGUGCCAGCAGCCGCGGUAAUACGUAGGUGGCGAGCGUUGUUCGGAUUUAUUGGGCGUAAAGGGUCUGUAGGAGGUUUGUUAAAUUCGGGGUGAAAUCCCAAAGCUCAACUUUGGAACUGCCUUGGAGACUGAUGAACUAGAGUACUGGAGAGGUAAGCGGAAUACCAGGUGUAGCGGUGGAAUGCGUAGAUAUCUGGUAGAACACCAAAAGCGAAGGCAGCUUACUGGACAGUUACUGACUCUGAGAGACGAAAGCGUGGGGAGCAAACA